CUACUUGGAUAGGUCUGCUCC
This 21-nucleotide non-coding RNA is filed under the name Arabidopsis thaliana (thale cress). The record is from RNAcentral. Lineage: Eukaryota; Viridiplantae; Streptophyta; Magnoliopsida; Brassicales; Brassicaceae.